RNAcentral lists this long non-coding RNA (362 nucleotides) under Phascolarctos cinereus (koala). Its description in RNAcentral is "lncRNA (ENSPCIG00000034022.1)". The record is from RNAcentral. Lineage: Eukaryota; Metazoa; Chordata; Mammalia; Diprotodontia; Phascolarctidae.
ACAAUCCAACCACGUUCUCUCCAUCUUUCUCCUCUGGAUUGGAUUGUGACUCAUCUCCCCUUCCAAACUAUUCCUGGUGCUGGAUUAUUCCCAUGGUAGUUGGGGUAACCAGCUCUGGUUCCUCUCUCUCCUGGACUACACACCUGUCUGCCUGCUGGCUCCUCUUUGGGCUCUGUCCCAGGCAUCUACUUGCUGGGAAAGAUCUGAGGUCUGAAGAAGCUUCCAGCUAUCCACUCAUCCACAUGCCCAACCAUCAAGCCACAUUCUUAUAUAAACAUGCCCUAACCACUCUUUCUCCAUUAUGGUCACUACCAUUUUCAACUUCCCCCUUUCAUUCUUCCAGCCAAAACAUGGCAAAAUGA